This 706-nucleotide ribosomal RNA is filed under the name uncultured Russula. Its description in RNAcentral is "eukaryotic LSU rRNA". The stretch from base 274 to 427 matches the Rfam family "5.8S ribosomal RNA". The record is from RNAcentral. Lineage: Eukaryota; Fungi; Basidiomycota; Agaricomycetes; Russulales; Russulaceae.
CUUGGUCAUUUAGAGGAAGUAAAAGUCGUAACAAGGUUUCCGUAGGUGAACCUGCGGAAGGAUCAUUAUCGUACAAUGGGGGUACCACGGCUGUCGCUGACUUUUUCGGUCGUGCACGCCAGAGUGCUCUCACAUACAAAUAUCCAUCUCACCCCUUUGUGCAUCACCGCGUGGGUCCCCCUUCCUCCGAGGGGGGUCCUCACGUUUUUAACAUUAAACACCCAUUCGAACGUAUCGUAGAAUGUUCUUUGCGCGAUCACGCGCGAUCAAUACAACUUUCAACAACGGAUCUCUUGGCUCUCGCAUCGAUGAAGAACGCAGCGAAAUGCGAUACGUAAUGUGAAUUGCAGAAUUCAGUGAAUCAUCGAAUCUUUGAACGCACCUUGCGCCCCUUGGAAUUCCGAGGGGCACACCCGUUUGAGUGUCGUGAACGUCCUUCAACCUUUCUUGGUUUCCCGAUCAAGGAAGGCUUGGACUUUGGGGGUUUUUCAUUGCUGGCCUCCCUUGAAGCCAGCUCCUCCUAAAUGUAUUAGUGGGGUCUGCUUGGCCGAUCCUGGACGUGAUAAGAUGAUUGUACGUCUUGGGUUUCGCACGGUCGCUUGGGACCGUGCUUUUAACCGUCUUGCAUUCAGGACAGAGUCAUGAACUUUGACCUCAAAUCGGGUGAGACUACCCGCUGAACUUAAGCAUAUCAAUAAGCGGAGGA